AAUCUCUUAGUCUUACUUGCUCAUCUGUUGCCAAGAGCUGGAAGAAGAUGGCCUCUGCAGGGUCACCUUCCAAGUCCCUCAGGAAGGCAACUAACGGGAGGAACUUAAUGUGCAUCCAGAGACCAAGAUGGCGGGAGUGUGGGAAACGUGGCUUUUAGCAUGCCAGCACCUUCCAAAGGGAAGAUAGGUGGAAUGGAGGUGAAGGGACCGAUGCAAAGUGCUAAACACAAGUUUAAAAUUUGGACUAUGGCUGUUUACAAGGAAGAAUCAAUGUCUUCACACAGGGAGAUCUUUAAAGGCUUUAUUAAAAUGCAGAGAAGGCUUUCCAACAAGGAUGCGAGGGCAGAUGGAAGUGAGAGGCCUUCAUAACGAGAUUAAGCAGAUGGGAAAGUUUACGACUAAUGAGAAGGGCAAAAGGACGCUAAAAGUGAUCAUUUUCUUGAAAUUAUAGUGAGGAGAAGGAUCUGUGCUUUACGUCUUGGGAACCUCCUCUGGUCAUGAACUCAGAAUGGGAAUUUUUUCCAGUAUUCUCUGGGGUAGCUGCUUUCAGAAAGAGGCGGAAAGGCAUGACACUACUUUAAGGUGUUCUAACAGAUUCUGUGAAUUUCAAGGCUAAUUAAUCUCAAGAAGUUUAUCAUUGAUGACAGCUGCUACGGCUUGAUCCUGCUCUUGCAAGGUUUGCACAUUACUAGAUUCCAGUUGGCAGAGUUUUAAGUGAAGUCUUCUUCUAUUUCAAGACAAGGGAAAUAUGAAAAGGGGUGUAUGUUGGAUCCAAUUUAGGCGCCUCCCCAGAUGCACUCUAUCUAGUAUGUCUUCUGGGCAUGCUUCUAACACAGAGCUCCCGUGCCCACUGUCACCACAUCUCCUGCCCACAGAGAUUAUGGUCUAAUUUUGGUCCAGGAUUUUAUAAUAAAGAUAAUAGAACAACAAAAAUGACCAAAUGUGUGACCUCACCAGAAUUUUCAUGUUGAAGUCAGGGUUCCAAUAAGGAAAGAGUGGGACUCUGAGAUCUAAAUAGACACAUUUGUUUGGGGAAGGGUGAGAACCACGAAGUCAGAAAUUAUCUUGCGUCCUCUUGGUUGUCAUAAGUAGCUUCCUCUCCCUUGAAAGAGGGGAAAGACGAGUCUUCCCUAGCCGAGACACCGUGCUGUUACCUUAUUUGAAGAAGUUGUCAUGCAAUGACACUUUUUCUCCUCAUGAGCUUCCCCCUACACCUAUUGCUUCCAAACAGCUAGCCAGGGGAAAGUCGAAGGAGAGUCCAAGCAAGAACAUACAAUCUUGCUCUAGAAGAAAAUGACAUGCAUGAGAAAAUUGCAGGACUUGGCUACUGUGUACAAGUGUGA
This is a long non-coding RNA of Equus caballus (horse), 1343 nucleotides long. RefSeq lists it as uncharacterized. Lineage: Eukaryota; Metazoa; Chordata; Mammalia; Perissodactyla; Equidae. The record is from RefSeq and is a predicted model, not a curated record.